This 341-nucleotide unclassified non-coding RNA is filed under the name Hevea brasiliensis (rubber tree). The record is from RNAcentral. Lineage: Eukaryota; Viridiplantae; Streptophyta; Magnoliopsida; Malpighiales; Euphorbiaceae.
AAAAAAAAAACAUGCAAGCGCAUGGGCAUGCACACAAAGUGGGGGCACAAACAAACAUAAAGAAUUAUAAAAAUGAAUUAACAGAACCAAUAAUUUAUAAAAUGAAUUAUAACCACAUAGUCGCUACAUCAGUAUCAUAAAUAUCAAAUAAAAAACCCAGGUCAAACAAUUAAACAUCUGAUUUUUCUCAUAAGUUUAGACACCCAACAUAUAAAUUUCGCAUUGCUUUCCCUUGUUUUCUUCCACUAAAACUAUACAAUCACAAAUACGUUGUGCAAGACACGGAUAGCAUCUAAAGAAUCCAAGUGACAAUGCUAAAAGUAACACUUACACCACUAAAA